This 349-nucleotide ribosomal RNA is filed under the name uncultured eukaryote. Its description in RNAcentral is "SSU rRNA". It matches the Rfam family "Eukaryotic small subunit ribosomal RNA", at positions 587 to 947 of the family's 1831-position model. The record is from RNAcentral.
AGCUCCAAUAGCGUAUACUAAUGUUGUUGCAGUUAAAAAGCUCGUAGUCGGAUUUCAGUUUAUUUGUUCGGUGGUUUUCAUACUACCUUGCGGAUUUACUUUUUGACGGAAGCUUUCAUGCCAUUAAUUUGGUGUGGAAUGUGACCGUCUCUUUUACUUUGAGAAAAUUAGAGUGUUCAAAGCAGGUGAUUUGCCUGAAUAUUACUCUUGGAAUAAUAAUAUAGGACUCGCGUGUCUUAGUUUGUUGGUGAUCUGGGACCGGAGUAAUGAUUGAUAGGGACAGUUGGGGUCAUUCAUACUGCAAAGCGAGAGGUGAAAUUCUUGGACCUUUGUAUGAUGAACAACUGCG